UUCCGAGGGGGAGAAGUUAUUGCGAUUAUGAACAAUUAAACCAUAAGCGUAUAGCUUUUCCCCUUUGGCG
RNAcentral lists this microRNA precursor (70 nucleotides) under Harpegnathos saltator (Jerdon's jumping ant). RNAcentral describes it as "mir-965 microRNA precursor family". It matches the Rfam family "mir-965 microRNA precursor family". The record is from Rfam by way of RNAcentral. Lineage: Eukaryota; Metazoa; Arthropoda; Insecta; Hymenoptera; Formicidae.